AUGUACCUACGGGGCGCAGCAGUAGGGAAUCUUCCACAAUGGACGAAAGUCUGAUGGAGCAACGCCGCGUGAGUGAAGAAGGGUUUCGGCUCGUAAAGCUCUGUUGGUAGUGAAGAAAGAUAGAGGUAGUAACUGGCCUUUAUUUUACGGUAAUUACUUAAAAAGUCACGGCUAACUACGUGCCAGCAGCCGCGGUAAUACGUAGGUGGCAAGCGUUGUCCGGAUUUAUUGGGCGUAAAGCGAGUGCAGGCGGUUUAAUAAGGCUGAUUUGAAAGCCUUCGGCUCAAACGG
RNAcentral lists this ribosomal RNA (291 nucleotides) under uncultured bacterium. Its description in RNAcentral is "partial 16S ribosomal RNA". It matches the Rfam family "Bacterial small subunit ribosomal RNA", at positions 333 to 616 of the family's 1533-position model. The record is from RNAcentral.